RNAcentral lists this ribosomal RNA (495 nucleotides) under uncultured bacterium. RNAcentral describes it as "partial 16S ribosomal RNA". It matches the Rfam family "Bacterial small subunit ribosomal RNA", at positions 29 to 506 of the family's 1533-position model. The record is from RNAcentral.
AUGAACGCUGGCGGCGUGCCUCAUACAUGCAAGUCGAGCGAACGGACGAGAAGCUUGCUUCUCUGAUGUUCGCGGCGGACGGGUGAGUAACACGUGGAUAACCUACCUAUAAGACUGGGAUAACUUCGGGAAACCGGAGCUAAUACCGGAUAAUAUUUUGAACCGCAUGGUUCAAAAGUGAAAGACGGUCUUGCUGUCACUUAUAGAUGGAUCCGCGCUGCAUUAGCUAGUUGGUAAGGUAACGGCUUACCAAGGCAACGAUGCAUAGCCGACCUGAGAGGGUGAUCGGCCACACUGGAACUGAGACACGGUCCAGACUCCUACGGGAGGCAGCAGUAGGGAAUCUUCCGCAAUGGGCGAAAGCCUGACGGAGCAACGCCGCGUGAGUGAUGAAGGUCUUCGGAUCGUAAAACGCUGUUAUUAGGGAAGAACAUAUGUGUAAGUAACUGUGCACAUCUUGACGGUACCUAAGCAGAAAGCCACGGCUAACUACGU